Molecule: long non-coding RNA, 294 nt
Filed under: Homo sapiens (human)
Lineage: Eukaryota; Metazoa; Chordata; Mammalia; Primates; Hominidae
Description: HSALNT0169880
Source: RNAcentral
GACAAAGGAUGAAAACCAGAGGUAUGAAGAGGCUUUGCAUUUCAGAAAGUCCAUCAUGGUAGAAAAAGAACCUUCGUUGAGGGAGAAACAUUUGCCUCAGAAACAGGGAUGAGUAAACAGAUAGAUUACUCUAGAAGCCCAUCCAUGGGGAGUCUCAGACUACUCCCACCCUGGGCACUACUCCUUUAAAAAGCACCUGCAGGGCCUCUGGGGUGAGCCACUGGCCCACCGGGGUUGGGAGCUGUGAUCAGCACAGGCUGCUUGGCCAGGAGGAAUGACUGCAGGGUGGGCAGA